This 302-nucleotide long non-coding RNA is filed under the name Manacus vitellinus (golden-collared manakin). Its description in RNAcentral is "lncRNA (ENSMVIG00005009989.1)". Lineage: Eukaryota; Metazoa; Chordata; Aves; Passeriformes; Pipridae. The record is from RNAcentral.
AAAGGAUAUUUUGCUGUAUGAUUUGUCUGGAAGCUGACUGACAGAUUGUAGGGCUGGCUAUUUGCUCCGAGCUCAUCUCCCAGGCUCCCUCUUCAUCAAGAAAAAGAUGAAGGCAUCUCCGGAAGGUAGAAUGUGUUGGGGAUUGAAUCAGAGAGGAAUGCCAAUGGAAAAGCUGAAUGAAUGUUUAGAAACAUUGCUGUUUCCUGAAGUCUUUGUUGAAGUGCUGACCUAGUAUUGCCCCUUCAUGCUCCACUGUCUCAUUGGAAAUACAUGUUGGUGCUGUUUGCCAUAUUGCGGUGAGC